This is a long non-coding RNA of Rhinolophus ferrumequinum (greater horseshoe bat), 2206 nucleotides long. RefSeq lists it as uncharacterized. The record is from RefSeq and is a predicted model, not a curated record. Lineage: Eukaryota; Metazoa; Chordata; Mammalia; Chiroptera; Rhinolophidae. The transcript has 3 exons.
GCCAAAGCAGCAGAGAACCAGCAUCGACACACAGAGCACCCCCUCCCAUGGGAACAUGGGAACAGGGCUGAGGCCACGGUUCCCAUGGGCAAAGCUUCUGCCUACAAGCAUUUUGGUCUCAAAUCACUAAUAUUUAACUACAUUCUGCCGACAGAGCGUGACAUUUGAGCUCAGGGUAAAUAAGGCAUUUGCUCACUGCCAGAGGGAUUCAAAGUUAGACCUGCAGGGAACAGGCAUAUUUGGAGUCACAUGACCAUGGUUUCUUAUUGCUGUGGUAGCUGUUGUUUACAAGACACUCUGAAAUCUUGGUGAAGCAUUCUGGGUCAGGAAUGCAUAAAGCUUUCCAAUCAAUCCAUCUUCUCCCUAAGCUGCUCCAAGGAGCUCUCAUGUGGGGAUGUGCCCAAGGUCACAAGACGAGUGGCAGAACCAAGGCUAGAACUCAGAAGAGCAGCUGAGACACAGGGCUGCGGCUGGCAGGAAGCAGUCCCGUACUCCGACAGAGCGGGGAGGAGCGGGACUGCACAGGCUGCUCUGAGCCCUCAGCUCCCCUCGUUCUCCUGAGCUCUCUGAGGCCCCAUGAAGACUCGUGGAGGACUUGGGCAGGACACACUUGACUCAAAGGAAGAAGUACGCUGCCUCCGCCUCAGCGCUUCCCGCGCCAGAGCCACCAUCAUGACAGGCAGUCUGGGGGUGCAGAGCCACCACGUGCCAUGCUCAGCACAGGGACUGGCAGGGCCAAGCACGAGAUGGGCAUUAUGCAGAGAGGUCCUUCAGGAGACGACGUCAGCCCUGAGUCUCAGCCGCCCAAGCCCAGGGCCUGACACGUGUCAUGCUGCUCCUGUGCUUGGAGUGCAGCACUGAGGAAAGAACGCACUUUCACCAAAGCAGAACACGGCCAGCCCCGGGAGUUACACGUCAGAGUCACGUCUACACUGCAAUGCAGGAGUGCCUAGAUUUCCUCAGGCUCAGAUCAAGCCGUUCCAUGGUGAAGGGAAAUAAAGUAACAUUGGCUUUCUGAACAUAAAAAGAAAAUCUCACUUUACUAGAAAGUAAAGAGGAAUACACACAAUACAGCUAAAGACAAAGACGGUUUGCCAAGAGUUCAUUUGGCACAAACUGCCUUCGAGACAGACUGACAGCACUAGAGUUAUUUUGAUUUUAUAAGCAAUUUGUCAUGUAUCAAAGACAUUCCUUGCUUCCAGUGAUUUCUUCUCUGUCAAUUUCUUCUUCUGUUAUUAGAUGGAAACAGAAUUUGAAUUCUCUACCAAACUUUUCUCAUCAAUUGGCUUCAGCUUGCUGCCUUUGUCUGUGAUUUCUCAGUCUAGAAGAUUCACUCUUCAGAUUUUUAAAAUUAUGAGAUGUUUCACAUGCAUAUAAACAGCAAAGUAGAUAAUAUAACGCCACAAAUACAAUGUCACGGAUGCAGGUAAACUCGCCUUGCCUCUCCUCAGCCCUUCAGAGUUCACUACUAUGCUGAAUGCAGUAUUUAUCAUUCCUACAAGCAGCUUUUUACUUUUAUUACAUAUUUGCAUGUCCCUAAGUAAUAUAACACCAUAUUGCGUGGUUUAAAACUUUGUAUAGAUGAUCUUCCCUGCAUCCUCCUGCAACCUGCUUCCUUUCCCUCCUCUUUAUAACUGAGAAGUCUCGUGACACAUGUGGUCCAGUUUCUUCCUUCUGACUGCUCUGCGGUCCCCUGCGACCACAGCCAAGUUCACCUGGCCAUUCAUUCUCUUUUCAAAGGACAGCAGGCUGUUGCCAAUGUCUUGCUAUGAACGAGGCUGCCACACACACCUUGUGCCUGCCACGUGCUGCACCUGCGUGGGUUUUUCGCAGGUAUAUAUAUAGCUAGUGGAACUGCCAGCAGAAGGCGUUAUCUCCUUUAAGGUUUCCCUUAUCUCAGAAAACCAGAUUUGCCCUCGUAUAUACUCAGUAAAACUGUACGUUUGGCACUUACUGUCUCUACCAACAAUUUGAUAUGCAAAUAAAAACACAGGGAGAUGUUUUCUGUAUUCUUAUGUAUCCUAUGUUUCCAAGUUAUAAACAUCUUGAGGCAGCUUUGUGCUCUCCACACCUACCACAAUAGCUAGCUGGUAACAAAUUUGAUUGCUCCCCUUGGAAACGUGGAUGGCAGGACGUGCCCAUGAAGCUCCCGCCUCUUCCCUGAGAAGCCUCAGCCGGCCCCUCUCCAGGGGGCUGUGCAAGCAGA